AAAACUGUGGCUAAUACCGCAUGAUGACUGAGGUCUAAAGGCGCAAGUCGCCUGAGGAGGAGCCUGCGUCCGAUUAGCUAGUUGGUGGGUAAAGGCCUACCAAGGCUCCGAUCGGUAGCUGGUCUGAGAGGAUGAUCAGCCACACUGGGACUGAGACACGGCCCAGACUCCUACGGGAGGCAGCAGUGGGGAAUAUUGGACAAUGGGCGCAAGCCUGAUCCAGCAAUGCCGCGUGGGUGAAGAAGGUCUUCGGAUUGUAAAGCCCUUUCGACGGGGACGAUGAUGACGGUACCCGUAGAAGAAGCCCCGGCUAACUUCGUG
Molecule: ribosomal RNA, 321 nt
Filed under: uncultured bacterium
Lineage: Bacteria
Description: bacterial SSU rRNA
Rfam family: Bacterial small subunit ribosomal RNA
Source: RNAcentral